Molecule: ribosomal RNA, 159 nt
Filed under: Arachnomyces kanei
Lineage: Eukaryota; Fungi; Ascomycota; Eurotiomycetes; Onygenales; Arachnomycetaceae
Description: 5.8S ribosomal RNA
Rfam family: 5.8S ribosomal RNA
About the family: 5.8S ribosomal RNA (5.8S rRNA) is a component of the large subunit of the eukaryotic ribosome.
Source: RNAcentral
AAACUUUCAACAACGGAUCUCUUGGUUCCGGCAUCGAUUAACAAACGCNUCCAACCUCGAUAAGUAAUGUGAAUUGCAGAAUUCAGUGAAUCAUCGAAUCUUUGAACGCACAUUGCGCCCUCUGGUAUUCCGGGGGGCAUGCCUGUCCGAGCGUCAUUA